AACGCGAAAGGGGCUUCGGCUCUGAGUAGAGUGGCGAACGGGUGAGUAACACGUGGGUGACCUACCUUCGAAUGGGGGAUAACGUCCCGAAAGGGACGCUAAUACCGCAUAACAUCCUGUCUUUGAAGAGAUGGAGAUCAAAGCUGGGGAUCGCAAGACCUGGCGUUUGAAGAGGGGCCCGCGUCCGAUUAGCUAGUUGGUGAGGUAACGGCUCACCAAGGCAACGAUCGGUAGCCGGCCUGAGAGGGCGGACGGCCACACUGGGACUGAGACACGGCCCAGACUCCUACGGGAGGCAGCAGUGGGGAAUUGUUCGCAAUGGGCGCAAGCCUGACGACGCAACGCCGCGUGGAGGAUGAAGGUCUUCGGAUUGUAAACUCCUGUUGCCCGGGACGAAACGCUUCGAUCUAACACGUCGGAGCUUGACGGUACCGGGUGAGGAAGCCCCGGCUAACUCUGUGCCAGCAGCCGCGGUAAUACAGAGGGGGCAAGCGUUGUUCGGAAUUACUGGGCGUAAAGGGCGCGUAGGCGGCCUUCUAAGUCGAACGUGAAAUCCCCGGGCUCAACCCGGGAACUGCGUCCGAUACUGGAAGGCUUGAAUCCGGGAGAGGGAUGCGGAAUUCCAGGUGUAGCGGUGAAAUGCGUAGAUAUCUGGAGGAACACCGGUGGCGAAGGCGGCAUCCUGGACCGGUAUUGACGC
RNAcentral lists this ribosomal RNA (700 nucleotides) under uncultured bacterium. RNAcentral describes it as "bacterial SSU rRNA". It matches the Rfam family "Bacterial small subunit ribosomal RNA", at positions 65 to 746 of the family's 1533-position model. The record is from RNAcentral.